UCCUCUGUGGUGUACUGGUAGCACGCGUCCUCGGUAUGGAUGAAACGCGGGUUCGACUCCCGUUUGAGAUCGUAU
Non-coding RNA from Parelaphostrongylus tenuis, 75 nucleotides. Lineage: Eukaryota; Metazoa; Nematoda; Chromadorea; Rhabditida; Metastrongylidae. The record is from the annotation of a GenBank genome assembly.